This is a long non-coding RNA of Solanum dulcamara, 3509 nucleotides long. RefSeq lists it as uncharacterized. The record is from RefSeq and is a predicted model, not a curated record. Lineage: Eukaryota; Viridiplantae; Streptophyta; Magnoliopsida; Solanales; Solanaceae. The transcript has 6 exons.
CCUUUUUACCUAAUGGUUAUUUAACUGAUUAUCAUUUACUUUUGCCAUUGAUUUUAUUUUUAUGCUAGGGUUACUGUGUUCUUCUUUUGUGCUAGGGCUACUGCUCCUUUGUGAUACUUAAGCACUUAAGCAUUACAAAUGUGAGGAAACAGAAAAAGAAUUGUCACUGCCUUUUGUUUCCUGAAAUUUGUGGCUCACAUUUUUGCCAUUGGAGAACUAUUUUUCAAAGAUCUAGCUGAUCUUAUUUUUCGGUUUGAUUCUUGAACAUGAUGAAGAUUGAUCAGAGAGCCCAAGUGCAAUUAUACCAAGAGUUAGGUUCCCACUGUGUUUAUCCUUGUUUUGAUGUCCUGGUGACAACUUACUGAAAAGAGAACUUAAACCUUCUUAUGUUACUAAUGAUCUUUCAAUUACUGCCAAUCCUUUGUACUCUUGCUUUUAUGGCUCUUUCAUGUGGAUGGACUCGUUCAGUUGCCAUUGAUCAAUCAGAGCUAUUUGGGGAAGCCAUGGUUUCUGCUCUUAUACAGUUCGCUUUGAAUUUUGGCUGUAGUAGUUCUCGUUUUCCCUUUAACUAAACCAUUUUUAAUUGUGUGCUUGUCUUGUUUGUCUCCCUAUCUCUCUAUAUCAAUUCCUUGGAGACAUUAACGACCGACAAAAGGAUGAGCAGAAACCUGUCCGUUGUAGCUGCACUCCACCAAAAUUUUAAGAGUAGAUGAUCUUCUGUGGAUCUGCAAACCUUAGCAUUAUACACUCCGUUUCUCUGCUACUUUGCUUCUCUGGUGUAUUUCUAUUUUUUUUUUGGUAAGAAAAAAGAAACAAAAGAAAAAAGCUUGACAAACAACGGAUCCUAUGAAUCUCUUUCGAAUGAACUGCAUGAGAGUGACAUUCAUUUUGCCACCUUAUUUAUGGGAUUAUUUCACUUGUUAUGGUUGUAGAAGGUAUAUCUUCCAUUAUCUUGUUCUUUCUCUUAAGUGUUUGUUGGUCCAUGAGACCCUUUUUACGAUGCAUUUUAGAGUUUAUCAUCAUCUCCGUUUGGUAAAGGUUUCUUUUCCUUUAAGAGGAUAUACAUGUGUACAAUAAGGAAAAGAAAUGAGUUAUGGCGUUGGAUUCUAUUUAUUGGAUCAAUUUGUCUCUUAGGGUUCUAACUACGCUUAAUAUCUUUUAUCGAUGGAUUCGUUUUCUGGAAAGACGCUUGUUUUUGGUCAUUGUUUUGACAAAAUGUAUCUCAGAAAGUAGCCCGCAUUUAUCAUGCUGACUUUAUUAUGCAAGUUUUAGUCCGAGUGAGUUGAUGUCACUGUAUUUACUACUCACUCGGUUUCAUUUUAUGUAUAUUAGUUUGACUAGACACGAAGUUUAAGAAUCUAGUUUGAAUCUAUCUUAAACUAAAGGUAUGCCACAUACCAAAAACGCCCUUUGAGCUUGUGUCUUAAGCAUACCAUGUCAUUCCUAUAACGAACCCAUAAGUUAAAACGGAGGGAGUACAUAUUAGGACACAAGGACCUGAAGAAGUAGGUUUUGGAUUAUGAGUUAGUUUGACAUUUUCGGGCUUCAUAUCUUUAAAAUUUAUUGACAUUGUUCCACUUGACAUGCAUCGUUUCUGUUAUUUGACGAUGCAAAUAACAUAAAGGUUUUGCCUUUUUUGUUUGCUAUUCCAUUUGUUAGAUAGUAAUGAUAAAUGUUUUCAGCUUGAUAUAGAUUGCAUUUAUAUGAGUGUUGAUGAGAUAACUGUCUUAUUUAGUUGCUUAACUGUGCGAUAUUGAAUUGGCACAACUUUUUUUGCAUGAUUUUGACGUGGGAGCAAGAUGGCAUUUUAAUUGAGUUGCAUGGAUUGAAUUGGCAAAAUCCGUAGUGCUGGGAAACUGUGAAGCGUAAUACUAGGAAAAGAUUCUAGCUUUAUGAACAACCAUGUCUAUACUUUUAGUGUGUGUACGUACAGCCAGUUAGAUACUCUGCAUGCUUGUAUCUCACAUGUCACAUGAGCAUCUUGGUUAUGUACUCCUUUUAACUGCAUCUUUUGUUUCCUAGAAUGACACAUGUAUGGAGAGAUUCUUUGCAGGAAGGAGGAAGAAUUGCACAAUUGAUUUUGAUUCUCGACUUGACUAGCCGAAAGUGCUCUCACUGUUUAAGAUUUUUCGUUGAUGAGGACCUGUACUACCCUUAAAUAGAAGAGGGAAAAGAAAAACAGAUAGGGAAUACAUUAUAUCUUCAUAUCCAGAAGUGCCCAGGGCAGCUUUUCGACGAGGGACAACUCUCAACAUAUAGUGAUUUUUGAGAGGAGCUAGGGCCUAGUGCAAGUUUCCGUACCCCAAGAAACCAAAGCAUGUCAAAUCUAUUCUUUCAGAUUACAAAAGAUGAUGUACCAGAAGUCUGAGCAACUUAUUUCCUUGUUCUGAUGCUGAGUAGUACUUAAUAGAUAAUGGAAUGUGCAUCCUCAAUCUUUUAGAAAAGGUCGGGUUCUAAAUAUAGUGUCAUGGAUGACUUCCUUUGGAUUCCUUUUCUUUUUAUCUUUUGGCUGUAUGAGAAAUGAUUCUUUAGGCUGCAGUUCUACAUUUAUGUACUGACUAAAAUUAUAAGAAGCAGGCGUCAGGAGCAAAGAUGUACAAUAGCAAAAAAGGAGAGUGAAUUGGCACAAUGAAUACAUAUUUAGGUUUUCAAUCUGAUGCACUAAAUCAGAUAUUUGGUCAUUCAGGGAAAACUUAUAAUGUUCAGUGAUGUGCUCUCCCCUUACGAGAGAAAAUUACUAUUUAAGGAGUUCAAAUCUGAGCACCUUUUAUCAGAAACAGCCUCUCUGUCUCUCGAGGUAGUGAUAUACUCUUCAGUUUUAAGCAUUAUACAAAGGCUCAGAUGCAUGAUGCUACAUUGACCUCAUAACACAGCCAUUCGUUUUAAGGAAUCUGACCGGCACUAGCAUGGAAUUUUGAUGAAAACAUGAAGUGAGGUUUUAGCCACCGUAUUUGGACAUACUGGUCUAGGUGAUGGUGCUCAGCCCCAUGCAAACUUCUUUCAGUUAAUUGGAACCAGAUUUGAUCAGUCAGUGCAUAUGCUGCUGAUCCAUCGGAAACAGCCCCUCUACCUCCCAAGGUAAGGGGUGAGGUUUGCGUACACACUAUCCUCCCCAGACCCCACUUGUGGGAUUGCACCGUUGAAGCUUGCCUUAAAAAAAAAAGACCGGACAGUUCAUGAUAAAGGCAUAUAUUACAGGGUGUUUUGGGAGUCCUCUACUGCCGUUGGACCUUGUAUUAUUUGCUAGGCAUCAACCAGUGCUAUUUGGCACUUGUGCUGGUGGGAUUGUGCUGGUGGGAGGUAGCAAAGUAUUCGACGGAAUAAUAUUCUGUAUAUCCCACCAAAGUAUUCGACGGAAUAAUAUUCUGUAUAACUAUGAUUGGAGGACUCCUAUUUACAUUAGAUCCUACAAAAAAGUAAACAAAGGAGACUCUCCUUUACAAAAGUAUUCUGUACUACAUAUAAGAUAACACCAAAAGAGUAAAAGAUCUUUCUAAAACAUGCUGAAA